RNAcentral lists this long non-coding RNA (1181 nucleotides) under Prunus dulcis (almond). RNAcentral's name for it is "sRNA ncRNA". The record is from RNAcentral. Lineage: Eukaryota; Viridiplantae; Streptophyta; Magnoliopsida; Rosales; Rosaceae.
CUCUCUCUCUCUCUCUCUCUAUAUAUAUAUAUAUAUAUAUAUCCCUUCAGUUGAAGGAUCCCUCAAAUAGUGUUUCUCUCUCUCUCUAUAUAUAUAUCCCUUCAGUUGAGGGAUCCCUCAAAUAGUGUUAUUUGAGGGAUGUGGCGCUCAACCGUUGGAUCUGUUUUAAUGAUCUUGUGUGGCUGAGAUUGUUUUACAUCUUUUAACCCGUUUUAUGCCAAAUAACCCGACACAUCCAAUGCUGGAGAAGACCUAAGGCACGCAGGCUCUCAGAUGGGAAACGAAGGAAAAGGAAGAACCCCUUGCAAGCCUAAGAGAAGACCCACUCUCUCGAGAUGAAAUGAUGACCCACCAUUUCCAACUAAGCUUGCGAGAUUUCUAUUUCUAUAAGGUAUCCAUUGUCGUGGUUUUUUUUCCUUCCGAAAUCUGGGUUGUAGUCUUCGAUUUGGAGAUGUAUGAGGGUUUUUCGAUCUGGGUUUGUAGAUUUCUAAGUUUUUAAAAAUCUGAGUUGAGAUUAAUCUCCAGAUUUAAUAUGGGUUUGGAAAAAUUCAUGUGAAUUAUUAUUGUUGUGUUGUUCUGGUAUCUGACAUGGGUUUUUUUAAAAUCGAUUUGAAGAUUUCUGCUAAAAGUUGAGAUUACAUCUCCAUAUUUGUAAUGGGAUUGAAAAAAUUCAUGCGAUUUACUUGUUGUUGUGAUAUUUGAUAUGGGUUUUAAAAUUGAUUGCGGCCACAAGAAUAUUAAAUAUUAUUUUUUGCUGGCAUGGAGCUUUCAUUCAAAGUAAUAAUAUAUCUUGAGUAAGUAAAGUCAUAUUUUCUACCUAUGUAAUUUGCCUGUUCUUGAUAAAAUUGAAUUAAUUAUUUUCAUUUGCUUUGUGUUUUUAGGAUGAUGUUUUGAACUCCUAGUGAGUAGUGGCAAAAGAUAUCCAGUUUUACUUGCGUUUAACAUAUUUCUGGUGUUGUAUGAUUGCACUGACAGAGAUCCAUUUUAAGGUUAUCUAAGCCGUAUAGCUUCUUAGGGUCAGUUAGAUGUGAGUUAUUUUUUAUUAGACAAUAAUUAAUGGAAUAUAUGAGGUUCGAAAUUUUUUUAGGGUCAAUUAGGUGGUGCAAGUCUUUUUGAAUUGUUGUUUAUCCGACUCUAUUGAACUAUGAGCAAAGGUUGUUUUAAGGUAUAUCUUGUUUGGU